RNAcentral lists this ribosomal RNA (484 nucleotides) under uncultured bacterium. Its description in RNAcentral is "partial 16S ribosomal RNA". It matches the Rfam family "Bacterial small subunit ribosomal RNA", at positions 30 to 507 of the family's 1533-position model. The record is from RNAcentral.
AUUGAACGCUGGCGGCAGGCCUAACACAUGCAAGUCGAGCGGAUGAAGGGAGCUUUCUCCUCUCUUCAGCUGCCGACGGGUGAGUAAUUCAUAGGAAUCUGCCUUAUCUUUGGGGAUAACGUCCGUUCACGGGCGCUAAUACCACAUCCGUCCUGAUUUUGAACGUCAUGGUUCUUCGGACCUCACGCUUUCUGCUGAGCCUAGGCCGGAUUAGCUAGUUGGUUGGGUAAAGGCCUACCAAGGCGACGAUCCAUAACUGAUCUGAGAGGAUGAUCAGUCACACUGGAACUGAGACACGGUCCAGACUCCUACGGGAGGCAGCAGUAGGGAAUAUUGGACAAUGGGCGAAAGCCUGAUGGAGCAAUGCCGCGUGAGUGAAGAAGGUCUUCGGAUCGUAAAACACUGUUAGUAGGGAGGAAGAGAAGUAAGAGAAAAUGUGCAUAUCUUGACGGUACCAAAAGAAAAAGCAACGGCUAACUACGUG